UACGGAGAGUUUGAUCCUGGCUCAGAAUGAACGCUAGCGGCGUGCCUAACACAUGCAAGUUGAACGAGAAAGCUCUUCGGAGUGAGUAAAGUAGCAAACGGGUGAGAAACGCGUGAGAAUCUACCUUUCAGUGGAGAAUACCCCUGGGAAACCGGGGUUAAUACUACAUAAGCCUUUCGAGGGAAAGACGGCAUUUGCCGUCGCUGAUAGAUGAGCUCGCGUCCUAUUAGUUAGUUGGUGGGGUAAUGGCCUACCAAGGCGAUGAUGGGUAGCCGGCCUGAGAGGGUGAUCGGCCACAUUGGGACUGAGAUACGGCCCAGACUCCUACGGGAGGCAGCAGUGGGGAAUUUUGCGCAAUGGACGAAAGUCUGACGCAGCGACGCCGCGUGGAGGAUGACGGUCUUCGGAUUGUAAACUCCUGUUGAGUGGGAAGAAAGCUAUUCGGUUAAUACCCGGAUAGUCUGACGGUACCAUUCGAGAAAGUUCCGGCUAACUUCGUGCCAGCAG
RNAcentral lists this ribosomal RNA (507 nucleotides) under bacterium. Its description in RNAcentral is "bacterial SSU rRNA". It matches the Rfam family "Bacterial small subunit ribosomal RNA", at positions 1 to 514 of the family's 1533-position model. The record is from RNAcentral.